AUACUUACCUGGCAAGGGAGAUACUGUGAUCAAGAAGGCGGUUCAGAGCGAGGCUCAGCCAUUGCACUCCGGCUGUGCUGACCCCUGCGAAUUUCCCAAAUGUGGAAAUCUCGAUUGCAGAAUUUCUGGUAGUGGGGGACUGCGUUCGCGCUCUCCCCUG
RNAcentral lists this small nuclear RNA (160 nucleotides) under Hucho hucho (huchen). Its description in RNAcentral is "U1 spliceosomal RNA (ENSHHUG00000017081.1)". It matches the Rfam family "U1 spliceosomal RNA". From Rfam's summary of the family: U1 is a small nuclear RNA (snRNA) component of the spliceosome (involved in pre-mRNA splicing). The record is from Rfam by way of RNAcentral. Lineage: Eukaryota; Metazoa; Chordata; Actinopteri; Salmoniformes; Salmonidae.